UGUCCGCCCACAUGUUUCCGCCUAACUUUAGUUGGCAAGGAAACAUAUUAAAAUCAGUUUCUGUAGUUGAAGCCGAAAGCCAAGACCGCAGUUAUCUCCUUGUAGAAAAGCUGAGGCACACCACUUACGAGCAACUUUCACUCAACUCUAACUUGUUGCUUAUGCAAAAGCUGAGGCACACCACUUUCGAGCAACUUUCACUCAACUCUAACUCUAUACUUCUCGCUUAUGCAAAAGCUGAGGCACACCACUUUCGAGCAACUUUCACUCAACUCUAACUUAUACUUCUCGCUUAUGCAAAAGCUGAGGCA
This 311-nucleotide long non-coding RNA is filed under the name Dendronephthya gigantea. RNAcentral's name for it is "uncharacterized LOC114522789, transcript variant X1". The record is from RNAcentral. Lineage: Eukaryota; Metazoa; Cnidaria; Anthozoa; Malacalcyonacea; Nephtheidae.